GGUUAUCUGGUCAGGUCAGUUUAUAAGUUGUGGGGGGUGUGUGGUUUUUUUUUUUUGUUUUUUUGUUUUGUUUGAAGCUCUUAACAAUUAAUGUUGCUGCUUAGUGUUUGGGUCUGUGCUGCUGUAUGUAUGUGAGCUGUAAUACUCACUGUGAAGGUCUUCAACUUCACUCCUGAAGUCAGUGAGAUCACGAGCCCACCAGAAGGAAGAAACUCCACACACUUCUGAACAGCUGAAGGAACGAACUCCGGACACACCACCUUGUAGAACUGUGACACUCAUGCCUUAAAAAGGAUAUUCUGUCAUGUGUGGCAAGAUGGAUAAACCUGGAGGACAUUACGCUCCAGUGAAACGGGUACUGCAUUUUGAUAAAUUGAAGGUUUGUGGAACGCUGCAUUGAGCAAGUCUAUUGGUACCAUUUUCCAACAGCAUGUGCUCACUUCAUGUCUCUGUGCCACAUUUGGAAUGAAGAGAAUCUGAACUAAGAUGGGGUGAAAGUAGGAAAUCAUUCCCCCAUGUCAAGUGCAAGGGCUAUCCAGUUAGAGGCCAACACAGAUGUCUGAUCAAAGGUAAAAGUCUUUGUGUGCUUGCAACAAGGGAAGUUGUCUAAUAGGGUCUGAAGACAGAAAGUCCUGUGGUUGUGUCCUGCCCUUCUCCUGCCACACUGGGCCUGCCUUCAGCAGCAAUGUCCCUUGGUGGUUGUCCGCCCUCUGCCACCUGCCUUCAUUUACUCUUGCAGUGGGGUUUAUUUACUCUCACUAUCAUUUGGAUAUACAAAGAAAUUUUAAUUCCCUUAUUUUUCAGACAUCAACCUGACCUUCCUUAUCAGCACUUGGUAAUGAUGGUGCUGACAGGUAACACAGUACAAUCCAGUUAAACCCUUCAUCUGAUUCAAUCGUUUAACUUUUUUUUGAGGUUUAAUUUAGGAUUUUAUUAUAUUUUACCAGUCUUUUAGAUUCCACUCUGCUGCUUUCCAGUAUGGUGCAGAGGGAAUAUAGUUCCUGAGGAGAGGUGCCCAUGACUGCCAGGUUUUGGAGGAAGGGGUGGCCUAGCCUCAUAUUGGUUCUUGGGGCAUUCUGGCUGGCAUCUGCUGAGGGAUGUUUGGUGUGCCCCUAUCCCUGGUCAUUCUAUGGUAUCCACCCAUGACAACUGUGGCCGCUAAUCUCAUGGUCUAUUGUUUCUCAGACUUGGUCAGGGCCUGGCCAGCUUGCCCCAAACAUUUGCAAGGCUGGGGGCAAGGCUGCUAUGAUAUAUGAAUACCUAAAAGUUAGCAAUCAAGCUGACACACUUUUAAAUAUGUUCCAUUCCUUUACCUUGACAAAUAUAUCUUUAUAAUGACAAAAUUGAAAAAUAUGUUUAAAACUAUAGCUUUUGUAAAUUGGAAAGUCAGUAAAAUAUUGACAAAUUUAUUUAUAAUUAUACA
Long non-coding RNA from Homo sapiens (human), 1423 nucleotides. RefSeq lists it as uncharacterized. NCBI's taxonomy places the organism in Eukaryota, Metazoa, Chordata, Mammalia, Primates, Hominidae. The record is from RefSeq and is a predicted model, not a curated record. The transcript is spliced from 4 exons.